UCGCUGCUUUCGGAGUUGCCACUGAGAUCGUAUUCAAAGGGUAUGCUGUCAUGUGCCUAGGAGGAGUACGCUGCCCACAUUGACUGAUCGUACUUAAAAUAUGCCUUCAUCGAGUACUAAUUCAGUAAUUACAAUAGGUAUUAAUGUCCCUCAUUAUCGUCUACGGUGUUAUAAUCAACUCCUUUGUAUGUGCUCCCCCCACUCGCUACUAUAACAAAAGCAGGGGUGGAAGGAGUAUCACAGAUGGUGAAUUUAUGGCUGCAGGUCAAAAUAGUGAAACUGGAGAAAUUCAAGUCAGGGAUCGAAGAUCUGCCGUCGAAAGGCCACCACGUGGUAAAUAGGCAGUGCACAUGAACACACGUUGCUGAUCUGAAUUGCAGCGAAAAAAGAACAAAGAUUUUGCGUCUAUAAUAAAGCUGCAUUCCUCAUUGUUUGUCAAUUUGUAAUUUCAUAGCAAUACAGUAAGAACUUUGAUAGAUACAUGCAUUUUUAUAUUCACAAAGUGAAUGGCAUUGGGCAGUAUUCUAUUUUAACCCUCUCCCUCAUUAAAUGUCGAUUUUAUGAGUUAUAUAGUAAUGAAUAGAAACGAAGCGCAUUUAAUAAAAACUUGAAAAAGGAUUAUUAAUUCUUAUCAAUCAUAUUCAAAAUUUGUUGUAAGGAAUUUCUCGAUGAGUCUGUGUUGCAAUGGGGAGGUGUAUAACUACAGUUGUAGGAAUCUGCAGUCCCAUGGAAACUGUUCAUUGAAACUUUUCUUUAUAUAAAACUAUAAGAGAUAUAUAUCGUAAUCAGUGAUGCAUGCAGUCAUGGACAUUGUUCAUAUAAAAGACCAGGUAUACAUGAUGUCACAUUUGGUUAACCGUUUCCUUACGUCAACAAACAAUUAGGUCUAUAUCAUAUUUGCAAAAAUCUUUACUGUGUUCCAUGAGAAGUUUACUUACGUUAUCAGAAGCAGUCAUAGCUAGACUAUACUUCGAUUUUUGAACACCAGAUUAUAGACUGAACUCCAUGAUGUUGGAUGCUACCAAUUACAGGUUCUUUAAAUCCCCGCGAAUCGAGGAUGGCAUUACUUCAGAUUGUGGGGAAUGACAGAAAGUGUUGCUCCCUCAGUUGAGUCAAUUGAUUUGAUUUUAAAUUUUCACUAUAGUUAAAAAAAAUGGGAAAUUAUAGAUCAAAAUUUGUACGUACAUAAUAAACAACUUUGCAUGUAAUAGUAGCUCAAUGGUCGAGCGUUCGCUUCGUAACCGAAAGGUCUUGAGUUCCAACCCUGCUCGCAUCAUGUAAAACCUAAGGCGCUAGUGAAGGUAGUGAUUACCCCUUCGCCUAACGCUCGGCAUUUAGAAUUAGGAAUCACAGGUCUUUCGGAUAUAACCUUAAGAAUGUAGGUCACAUGAAGCAGUAGACGUUUGUACUUUAAAGAACUCUCAUUGCCACGACUCUGAGUGCUAAGUAUAGGUCUUAUUUUGUGGUCCUUCAUCUUCUGCGGAUUAUGUCUCAAUAUGAGCGAAGACUUGGAAUGUAAAACAAGUAAAUAUUCAAUCAAUCAGCGUGUCAUUAACUUUGUAUAUCAUCAUUGCUAUGGCUUACAAAUACUAAAGUGUUCUUUAUUCUGAAUGUUACCAUUGUUGUAACUUGCAAAGAUCAACGUCAAUUUUAUAACGUAUAUUAGUAUUAAUACAUUAAAGAUUUAUAAAUAUCAA
Long non-coding RNA from Ostrea edulis (European flat oyster), 1697 nucleotides. RefSeq lists it as uncharacterized. The record is from RefSeq and is a predicted model, not a curated record. The transcript has 3 exons. NCBI's taxonomy places the organism in Eukaryota, Metazoa, Mollusca, Bivalvia, Ostreida, Ostreidae.